RNAcentral lists this ribosomal RNA (995 nucleotides) under uncultured bacterium. RNAcentral's name for it is "bacterial SSU rRNA". It matches the Rfam family "Bacterial small subunit ribosomal RNA", at positions 356 to 1376 of the family's 1533-position model. The record is from RNAcentral.
GGGGAAUAUUGCACAAUGGGCGAAAGCCUGAUGCAGCGACGCCGCGUGAGCGAAGAAGUAUUUCGGUAUGUAAAGCUCUAUCAGCAGGGAAGAUAAUGACGGUACCUGACUAAGAAGCACCGGCUAAAUACGUGCCAGCAGCCGCGGUAAUACGUAUGGUGCAAGCGUUAUCCGGAAUUACUGGGUGUAAAGGGAGCGCAGGCGGGCGAUCAAGUUGGAAGUGAAAUCCAUGGGCUCAACCCAUGAACUGCUUUCAAAACUGGUCGUCUUGAGUAGUGCAGAGGUAGGCGGAAUUCCCGGUGUAGCGGUGGAAUGCGUAGAUAUCGGGAGGAACACCAGUGGCGAAGGCGGCCUACUGGGCACCAACUGACGCUGAGGCUCGAAAGUGUGGGUAGCAAACAGGAUUAGAUACCCUGGUAGUCCACACCGUAAACGAUGAUUACUAGGUGUUGGGAGAUUGACCCUCUCAGUGCCGCAGUUAACACAAUAAGUAAUCCACCUGGGGAGUACGACCGCAAGGUUGAAACUCAAAGGAAUUGACGGGGGCCCGCACAAGCAGUGGAGUAUGUGGUUUAAUUCGACGCAACGCGAAGAACCUUACCAAGUCUUGACAUCCCUUGACGAUGCUGGAAACAGUAUUUCUCUUCGGAGCAAGGAGACAGGUGGUGCAUGGUUGUCGUCAGCUCGUGUCGUGAGAUGUUGGGUUAAGUCCCGCAACGAGCGCAACCCUUAUGGUCAGUUACUACGCAAGAGGACUCUGGCCAGACUGCCGUUGACAAAACGGAGGAAGGUGGGGAUGACGUCAAAUCAUCAUGCCCUUUAUGACUUGGGCUACACACGUACUACAAUGGCGUUAAACAAAGAGAAGCAAGACCGCGAGGUGGAGCAAAACUCAGAAACAACGUCCCAGUUCGGACUGCAGGCUGCAACUCGCCUGCACGAAGUCGGAAUUGCUAGUAAUCGUGGAUCAGCAUGCCACGGUGAAUACGUUCCCG